GAUGAACGCUGGCGGCGUGCCUAAUACAUGCAAGUCGAGCGAACAGACGAGGAGCUUGCUCCUCUGACGUUAGCGGCGGACGGGUGAGUAACACGUGGAUAACCUACCUAUAAGACUGGGAUAACUUCGGGAAACCGGAGCUAAUACCGGAUAAUAUAUUGAACCGCAUGGUUCAAUAGUGAAAGACGGUUUUGCUGUCACUUAUAGAUGGAUCCGCGCCGCAUUAGCUAGUUGGUAAGGUAACGGCUUACCAAGGCGACGAUGCGUAGCCGACCUGAGAGGGGGAUCGGCCACACUGGAACUGAGACACGGUCCAGACUCCAACGGGAGGCAGCAGUAGGAAAUCUUCCGCAAUGGGCGAAAGCCUGACGAAGCAACGCCGCGGGAGUGAUGAAGGUCUUCGGAUCGUAAAACUCUGUUAUUAGGGAAGAACAAAUGUGUAAGUAACUAUGCACGUCUUGACGGUACCUAAUCAGAAAGCCACGGCUAACUACGU
Molecule: ribosomal RNA, 496 nt
Filed under: uncultured bacterium
Lineage: Bacteria
Description: partial 16S ribosomal RNA
Rfam family: Bacterial small subunit ribosomal RNA
Source: RNAcentral